GAGAUUCAAGUCGUGAUCGAGGGAAAAAUAAAGUUUACGAGGAAUAAGCUCGAUUGCUAAUAUUUUAUAUCGAGGUCAGUUCAUAUGAUUUUUAAUAAUGCAAUGUGUAAUUUAAUGUUUUGAAAUGAAAAUUUCAUGAAUGAUAUAGUAUAUUAUUGCAUAUAAAAUGUCAUUAAACUGUGAUAAUUGUAAAAUGAUAUUUGAAUAAAAGUACAAAUUAAAUGGAACAACGGACUUGAGUACUUUCAUUCAGUGGCUAAGACGAAUUGACGGAAAGACCAUGGUUGGACCAUGGCAGCAUGUGAAAUGUGAUUUCCGUAUAAGACCAUAGCUGGGCUAUGGCUUCGGAGAAAUGUGAUAUGUGUUUCCGUAUAAGACCAUAUCCGGGAUAUGGCAUCGGUGUGAUAUGUGCUACUGUAUAAGACCAUAUCUGGGAUAUGGCAUCAGUGUGAUAUGUGAUCCGUGUAAGACCAUGGCUAGGCUAUGGCCUCGGUAUGUGAUAUGUGACUAUGUGCAAGACCAUAGUUUUACUAUGGCAUUGUGAUAAUGAGGUACUCAAUUCCGUAAUCGUUCCCUAAUUUGAUUAUGAACGAAAAUGUAAAAUGGCCCGAAAAGAUUAAGAAUUGGUGAAUACUAUGAAAAUGACACGAUUUGGAAUAAGUUCUUGAUACUUGAUGACAUUGAGAUUAUGGAUCUAUGCUUAUGAAGCAUAAUUAUGUGUUCUUACCAUGAUGGAUGAAAUGAUAUUGUAUGGAUUUAGUGAAUAAUAGUGGUGAAUGAAUAAAUAUGGCCUUGGCAGUUUUGGGUUACUACAGUAGUGUAUAUUUUGAAAUUCACCAUAAAUUGUGGAAAUUGAGUUAAGGGCUGAAUAAAAUAUGAGAUUAAAGCCUGAUGAGUUUAGUUUCAUAUAGAGGAAACGGUGCAUGCAAUUGGAUUUUAUGUUAUAAGAUAUUUAAAUUGUUGUGAGACAGAGUUUGAAUGAUUCGAGAUCCCCUGUUCUGAUUUUAGAAAAUCAUUAGAAAUUGUACAAAAAUAUUUAUGAGUUUUAAUUUAUAUAUUUAAAAUCCUUAUCGAGUCUAUUUUCAAGAGGGAUAGACGGGAACAUCAUCCAAGUCCCGAAUUAUGAGAUAAAUAAUUUUUAGUGAAGAGAGAUCAGAACUGUUGGACAGCGAAACAGGGGAGACUUUAAUGAAUAAACUGUACUAAAUGGCUAAACCAAAAAUUCUGGAAAUUUUAUGGCAGAAAGGUAUAUGAAUCUAGUUUCAAGGAAAAUUAACGGAACUUAAUUUGAAGUUUCGUAGCUCCAGAAAUAAAUUAUUUAGUAAAUGUAUCUCGAUAAAACAGUUUAAGCUGAGUAUGUAUAAUUGUACAAUUGUGGUGUUUUAUCUUAAAAGCAUGUUGGUAAUUGCUUAUUAAUUUCAUAUGGACUUACUAAGCAUUUAUGCUUAGUCCCUCCUUUUCAUUCCUUGUAGUUUUGAUAAGCCAGCUCGGAAAUCGGGAACGGUCGGAGGCCCACUCACACUAUCCGUAUACCAUCUUGGCGUAAUGGCUUGUAUAUUUUGAGUAUGGCACGUAUAGCAUUAUAAUCAUUUUGUAUAUAUGGUCUUAUGAUAUGGAUAUUGAGUGGUAUGGAAAUGUUUGGUAAUGAUUAGCCAUUGGAAUGGCUAAUCAUGAUCAUAUUUGGUGUUAUAUAUGCUAAAUUGCUAGCUAAUCCAUGGAAACCAUGAAAUAGGCAAAAUUUACCAUAAAAUAGAUCCAGACAGCAGCAGUAAUGUGAGUUUGAAAAAUCAUUAAAAAUAGUAGAGAUACAAUUAGAUGAUGAAUAAAAUAUGGAAUUGAA
This 1840-nucleotide long non-coding RNA is filed under the name Gossypium barbadense (sea-island cotton). Its description in RNAcentral is "long non-coding RNA (GBAR_LNC010234)". The record is from RNAcentral. Lineage: Eukaryota; Viridiplantae; Streptophyta; Magnoliopsida; Malvales; Malvaceae.